GAUGAACGCUGGCGGCGUGCCUAAUACAUGCAAGUCGAGCGAAUGGAUUAAGAGCUUGCUCUUAUGAAGUUAGCGGCGGACGGGUGAGUAACACGUGAGUAACCUGCCCAUAAGACUGGGAUAACUCCGGGAAACCGGGGCUAAUACCGGAUAACAUUUUGAACCGCAUGGUUCGAAAUUGAAAGGCGGCUUCGGCUGUCACUUAUGGAUGGACCCGCGUCGCAUUAGCUAGGUGGUGAGGUAACGGCACACCAAGGCAACGAUGCGUAGUCGACCUGAGAGGGUGAGCGGCCACACUGGGACUGAGACACGGCCCAGACUCCUACGGGAGGCAGCAGUAGGGAAUCUUCCGCAAUGGACGAAAGUCUGACGGAGCAACGCCGCGUGAGUGAUGAAGGCUUUCGGGUCGUAAAACUCUGUUGUUAGGGAAGAACAAGUGCUAGUUGAAUAAGCUGGCACCUUGACGGUACCUAACCAGAAAGCCACGGCUAACUACGUGCCAGCCGCCGCCGUAA
RNAcentral lists this ribosomal RNA (515 nucleotides) under uncultured bacterium. RNAcentral's name for it is "partial 16S ribosomal RNA". It matches the Rfam family "Bacterial small subunit ribosomal RNA", at positions 28 to 523 of the family's 1533-position model. The record is from RNAcentral.